UGGGGAAUAUUGGACAAUGGGCGCAAGCCUGAUCCAGCCAUGCCGCGUGAGUGAUGAAGGCCCUAGGGUUGUAAAGCUCUUUCACCGGUGAAGAUAAUGACGGUAACCGGAGAAGAAGCCCCGGCUAACUUCGUGCCAGCAGCCGCGGUAAUACGAAGGGGGCUAGCGUUGUUCGGAUUUACUGGGCGUAAAGCGCACGUAGGCGGACUAUUAAGUCAGGGGUGAAAUCCCGGGGCUCAACCCCGGAACUGCCUUUGAUACUGGUAGUCUUGAGUUCGAGAGAGGUGAGUGGAAUUCCGAGUGUAGAGGUGAAAUUCGUAGAUAUUCGGAGGAACACCAGUGGCGAAGGCGGCUCACUGGCUCGAUACUGACGCUGAGGUGCGAAGGCGUGGGGAGCAAACAGG
RNAcentral lists this ribosomal RNA (404 nucleotides) under Actinomycetes bacterium. RNAcentral's name for it is "Actinobacteria bacterium partial 16S ribosomal RNA". It matches the Rfam family "Bacterial small subunit ribosomal RNA", at positions 355 to 776 of the family's 1533-position model. The record is from RNAcentral. Lineage: Bacteria; Bacillati; Actinomycetota; Actinomycetes.